UACGUAGGUGGCAAGCGUUGUCCGGAAUCAUUGGGCGUAAAGAGCGCGUAGGCGGCCCAGUAAGUCCGCUCUGAAAGUCAGAGGCUCAACCUCUGAAUGCGGGUGGAUACUGCUGGGCUAGAGUCCGGAAGAGGCGAGUGGAAUUCCUGGUGUAGCGGUGAAAUGCGCAGAUAUCAGGAAGAACACCAAUGGCGAAAGCAGCUCUCUGGGACGGUACUGACGCUGAGACGCGAAAGCGUGGGGAGCGAACAGG
This 253-nucleotide ribosomal RNA is filed under the name uncultured bacterium. RNAcentral's name for it is "partial 16S ribosomal RNA". It matches the Rfam family "Bacterial small subunit ribosomal RNA", at positions 524 to 776 of the family's 1533-position model. The record is from RNAcentral.